This 499-nucleotide ribosomal RNA is filed under the name Shigella sonnei. RNAcentral describes it as "bacterial SSU rRNA". It matches the Rfam family "Bacterial small subunit ribosomal RNA", at positions 1 to 489 of the family's 1533-position model. Lineage: Bacteria; Pseudomonadati; Pseudomonadota; Gammaproteobacteria; Enterobacterales; Enterobacteriaceae. The record is from RNAcentral.
AAAUUGAAGAGUUUGAUCAUGGCUCAGAUUGAACGCUGGCGGCAGGCCUAACACAUGCAAGUCGAACGGUAACAGGAAACAGCUUGCUGUUUCGCUGACGAGUGGCGGACGGGUGAGUAAUGUCUGGGAAACUGCCUGAUGGAGGGGGAUAACUACUGGAAACGGUAGCUAAUACCGCAUAAUGUCGCAAGACUAAAGAGGGGGACCUUCGGGCCUCUUGCCAUCGGAUGUGCCCAGAUGGGAUUAGCUAGUAGGUGGGGUAACGGCUCACCUAGGCGACGAUCCCUAGCUGGUCUGAGAGGAUGACCAGCCACACUGGAACUGAGACACGGUCCAGACUCCUACGGGAGGCAGCAGUGGGGAAUAUUGCACAAUGGGCGCAAGCCUGAUGCAGCCAUGCCGCGUGUAUGAAGAAGGCCUUCGGGUUGUAAAGUACUUUCAGCGGGGAGGAAGGGAGUAAAGUUAAUACCUUUACUCAUUGACGUUACCCGCAGAAGAA